Molecule: long non-coding RNA, 327 nt
Filed under: Arabidopsis lyrata
Lineage: Eukaryota; Viridiplantae; Streptophyta; Magnoliopsida; Brassicales; Brassicaceae
Description: long non-coding RNA (ALYR_LNC000876)
Source: RNAcentral
AAAAUAUAAUUAAACGAUUAAUUAUGAGACACAUCUUUUGUUGAAAAAAAAAAACAAAAAGAACCAAAAAGGAAAAAAAAAAACACGGAAAAGGAAGAGAAAAGAAGAAGACACGACCAAUCCUUUCUCCGACGUAAUUGUAUGUGACUCACGACCAUGAUUAGAUUGGUGGAGAUUAAUAUACCCGUCGAUUUUGUGCAUGCUCCAAAACGAAUAUCUUGAAAAUCUUUCCCACGAGACUCAUUAGUCUCUUUAUUAUCUAAGGUAAUUUAAAAGAAUAGUUUGUUUGAUUGGUUGCAAUUGUAGGAUGCAAGAUCAUAUCAAUAU